UUCAUAGCUUAACUGAAGAGGUUGACAAUUUGAAAGACAUAAUAUCUCAAAGGGAUCAGCAAAUUUUAGAAAUUCAAAAACAAAAUUCACAAAGAGAUCUAGAUAUGGUUGAAAUGCGUAAACAGCAAGCCUUUCUUUUACAACAAUUUCAACAAUUUAGAUCGGGUUCAAGCUAUAUUCCUCCUGGUAUUGGUGAUGAUGCUAAUGACGAUGAUGAUGUCGAUGAUGAUGCCGCCGAUGAUGUUGAUGAUGAUGCAUGAGUGUUUGGUUGGUAGGUGAAGAUGAUGGUGGUAUUGAUGUAAAAAUAUGUAGAAGAAGGAUUUGGACUGAGAAGGAUCUCCAUAAGAUUAUCUUCAACUCUAUCUUUUUCAUGUUCUUGUAUGAUAUUGGAAUUUGGAUACUAUGACAUGUUUGUUAUAACUUUA
Molecule: long non-coding RNA, 425 nt
Organism: Zingiber officinale
Lineage: Eukaryota; Viridiplantae; Streptophyta; Magnoliopsida; Zingiberales; Zingiberaceae
Exons: 3
Source: RefSeq, a predicted model, not a curated record